Molecule: ribosomal RNA, 497 nt
Filed under: uncultured bacterium
Lineage: Bacteria
Description: partial 16S ribosomal RNA
Rfam family: Bacterial small subunit ribosomal RNA
Source: RNAcentral
GAUGAACGCUGGCGGCGUGCCUAAUACAUGCAAGUCGAGCGAACAGACGAGAAGCUUGCUCCUCUGACGUUAGCGGCGGACGGGUGAGUAACACGUGGAUAACCUACCUAUAAGACUGGGAUAACUUCGGGAAACCGGAGCUAAUACCGGAUAAUAUAUUGAACCGCAUGGUUCAAUAGUGAAAGACGGUUUUGCUGUCACUUAUAGAUGGAUCCGCGCCACAUUAGCUAGUUGGUAAGGUAACGGCUUACCAAGGCAACGAUGCGUAGCCGACCUGAGAGGGUGAUCGGCCACACUGGAACUGAGACACGGUCCAGACUCCUACGGGAGGCAGCAGUAGGGAAUCUUCCGCAAUGGGCGAAAGCCUGACGGAGCAACGCCGCGUGAGUGAUGAAGGUCUUCGGAUCGUAAAACUCUGUUAUUAGGGAAGAACAAAUGUGUAAGUAACUAUGCACGUCUUGACGGUACCUAAUCAGAAAGCCACGGCUAACUACGUG